UACAUUCACAAUAUACAACUGGAUUUCUUCACGUAAAUGCAUCUAAAUUAACUGGUGAACACGUUGCAGGUGGGGACUACACGCCAGCAAGCGGCGCUUUAACAAGUCGGUCGGCGGCGAGAGGUUUAAAAGGCCAGCGUGCACUGUGGAUGGCGUAUCUGUAAUCGUGUACAAUAGACACAGGUGCUGGAGUAACUCAGCGGGACAGGACAGGACAGGACAGGACAGGCAGCAUCUCCGGAGACAAGGAAUGGGUGACGUUUUGGGUCGAGACCCUUCUUCAGACUUCCGUCGACUGGACAAGAGGCAACAAAAAGUUUUACAUCUCGAUACACGUGAUAAUAAACUGAGCUAAA
Leucoraja erinaceus (little skate) is the source of this 356-nucleotide long non-coding RNA. RefSeq lists it as uncharacterized. The record is from RefSeq and is a predicted model, not a curated record. NCBI's taxonomy places the organism in Eukaryota, Metazoa, Chordata, Chondrichthyes, Rajiformes, Rajidae. The transcript is spliced from 2 exons.